Molecule: non-coding RNA, 147 nt
Filed under: Nematostella vectensis (starlet sea anemone)
Lineage: Eukaryota; Metazoa; Cnidaria; Anthozoa; Actiniaria; Edwardsiidae
Description: Eukaryotic small subunit ribosomal RNA
Rfam family: Eukaryotic small subunit ribosomal RNA
Source: Rfam by way of RNAcentral
CUAUAUGGACUAACCGUGACAUACUGUGAAACUGCGAAUGGCUCAUUAAAUCAGUUAUCGUUUAUUUGAUUGUACCUUUACCACUUGGAUAACCGUGGUAAUUCUAGAGCUAAUACAUGCGAAAAGUCCCGACUUUGGAAGGGAUGA